This 402-nucleotide ribosomal RNA is filed under the name Bacteroidota bacterium. RNAcentral describes it as "Bacteroidetes bacterium partial 16S ribosomal RNA". It matches the Rfam family "Bacterial small subunit ribosomal RNA", at positions 355 to 776 of the family's 1533-position model. Lineage: Bacteria; Pseudomonadati; Bacteroidota. The record is from RNAcentral.
UGGGGAAUAUUGCACAAUGGGGGAAACCCUGAUGCAGCGACGCCGCGUGAACGAAGAAGGUAUUCGUAUCGUAAAGUUCUGUCCUAUGGGAAGAUAAUGACAGUACCAUAGAAGAAAGCUCCGGCUAAAUACGUGCCAGCAGCCGCGGUAAUACGUAUGGAGCGAGCGUUGUCCGGAAUUAUUGGGCGUAAAGGUACGCAGGCGGUUUAAUAAGUCGAAUGUUAAAGAUCGGGGCUCAACCCCGUAAAGCAUUGGAAACUGAUAAACUUGAGUAGUGGAGAGGAAAGUGGAAUUCCUAGUGUAGUGGUGAAAUACGUAGAUAUUAGGAGGAAUACCAGUAGCGAAGGCGACUUUCUGGACACAAACUGACGCUGAGGUACGAAAGCGUGGGGAGCAAACAGG